Long non-coding RNA from Carassius auratus (goldfish), 1703 nucleotides. The record is from Ensembl. Lineage: Eukaryota; Metazoa; Chordata; Actinopteri; Cypriniformes; Cyprinidae.
UGUCUUUGCAGCGAGAACCAUGCCAGUCAGCCUUGUCUCCCUGACCUCUACCGUCCCUCACGAAACCUCUCACACUUCUCCGCUUUCUCGCACACAAAACCAGCCAAUAACAAGGAAGCACUGAUCCUGUGACCUCUCCUUCUUACCAGUCACUACAUUUUCUCAAAUCUUUCUUCCAAACUGAAUAUGCAGUGGAGUCAGACUAUAUCAUAUGAUGCGAUUAAAAUCUUUUCCAACAAUUCCAGCAAGGACAAUCUGGCGUUUUGACUCACAGCCUAUGGAGCUGCAGUGGAAUAAACAUAGCAGUACAGAUCUGACCUUUGAACUCUCCAGUGGACCAUAAACUCUUCAUAAGCAAGCUUGGGCAUAAUUCAGGUCAUUUUGAGUGAUCGCCACCAGAUCCAGUCUGUAUCCAGAUCAGAGGGUCACUGCAGUCACUCGGAUCCAGUACGUAUCCAGACCAGGUGGUGGAUCAGGACCUCUACUGUCCUGAAAGACAGCGGAGACCAGGACAACUAGAUGAGCCCCAGAUACAGAUCCCCUGUAAAGACCUUGUCUCAGAUGACCACCAGGACAAGACCACAGGAAACAGAUGAUUCUUCUGCACAAUCUGACUUUGCUGCAGCCUGAGAUUUAACUACUGGUUUCGUCUGGUCAGAGGAGAACUGGCCCUUCAACUGAGCCUGGUUUCUCCCAAGGUUUUUUUCUCCAUUCUCUCACCGAUGGAGUUUCGGUUCCUUGCCGCCAUCGCCUCUGGCUUGCUUAGUUGGGGACACUUCAUCUACAGUGAUAUUGUUGACUUGAUUGCAAAUGAUUGCACACACACUAUUUAAACUGAACAGAGAUGAUAUCACUGAAUUCAGUGAUGAACUGCCUUUAACUGUCAUUUUGCAUUAUUGACACACUGUUUUCCUAAUAUAUUUUAUUAUAUAUUUUUAUAUUUUUGUAGAUUUGUGUGUUUUAUUCACGAGUGCCAAUAGUAAAUAUCUGAAUAGAAUAUAUAAAUAUAUGAAGUUAAGGAAUAACGCAAGGUUGAGCUCCUUCAGAAGUUGCAGAAAAAAUAUUUGUGGCAUAUAUAUUUUUUAAUUGUAGCGGAAUAACAGCAUGAGAACAGAAAAGGGAUAAAAUGUGAAAAAUGCUUGCAAAUGCUUAAAAGAAAUGGUGAGAACGCUAUAAAGAAGGGCUAUAAACCAGAAACGAAAAAAGAAGGCUGAAGAUGUACUUAAGACCAGAAGCUUUGCAUUUUUAAGUUUGUGCUUGGUGGAGAAUACAGAAAACGAAGAGAGAAAGAGAGGUGAGAACUACAGGUCAUGAGGUGAUUGUUUUAGUAAGUAAAUAUGUGUGCGGAAGAAUAUUUUCUCCCACUAAAAUUCCUUAUUUACUGUUUAAGAUUCAUCUGUGAUAAGAUAAAUGAAAGACUUUAUCUUCAUUGAUCUGUUCAAAAAACAUGGACAUGACUUUCCUCCCUCUGUAUUAAUAAUACUCACACAAACACACGCAGAGAUGCACUCACUCACUUAGUCCCACACCUAGACACACGCGUACGCCCGAGCACACGCGCACACACGUACACUGGCAGCAGCAGAAUUGAAUGCGAUAGGGAAGUGAAAAAUGAUUAACCCGGGGUCAGCUCUCAGCCUCAAUCUCACCAGCGCUCAAAGAGCAGCGCAGACUGAUUUAAACUCGUCAUGUUCCGCCGCACA